AAGUUGCGAUAAGUAAUGUGAAUUGCAGAACUCAGUGAAUCAUCGAGUCUUCGAACGCACAUUGCGCCCCCUGGCACUCCGGGGGGCACGCCUGUCCGAGCGUCGUCCGACCACCCAUCGGGUCCCCCUCAAGGGGCCCCGGCCUUGGGCCGACGAAUCGCCCCGCGUCGGGCGGGCCCGCAAGUCACCGACCGGUCGUCCCCGAGGGCCCCGAGCGCAGCGGCUGUCCCAUGCUCGAGGUCCCCGCGUGGAUGCCCACCGGCGUCUUCCCACUGACACGCACGUUUGACCUCGGAUCAGGCGGGGUUACCCGCUGAACUUAAGC
RNAcentral lists this unclassified non-coding RNA (325 nucleotides) under plant metagenome. RNAcentral describes it as "partial contains 5.8S ribosomal RNA, internal transcribed spacer 2, and large subunit ribosomal RNA". The stretch from base 1 to 105 matches the Rfam family "5.8S ribosomal RNA", at positions 50 to 154 of the family's 154-position model. The record is from RNAcentral.